UCCUCUCGGAGCGUCCUCCUCCGACCGCAGGCGCGGAGGUCCUGUUAGGGCUGCUGCCCAUUACGACCCACAGGUGAUCGGAAAGCCGGGAGCUGCCGUCUCGGUCCAGGCCCGGUGACUGCGGCCGCGGGGCGACCCACCCCCGCCGGCUCACCGGGAGGAGGAGCGGGGACCGGGCCCUGAGAGGCGGCCGCACGAGAUUAAAAAGUGCUCGGUCGUACUCUUUCCGUCCAGCCAACGACUGGGAAGACAAACUGUCGCAGGGACCCUCGCCCCCCCGUCUCUCCUGCCCACCACUUCCCACUGGUUUCCUGCCACGCAGCCCAAGGCAGCAGCUCCCCGUGUCCCGCAAAGAGCAGGCGGGAGUGGAGACACGGGUGGGCCCGCGAGCACCGGCCCUUCGGAAAGGCUCGGACUGAGGAGACGGGGAGCAGGACACAGUAGAGGCUCACACCUGCCACCCGCAUUUCAUAGGCACUUCCUGCGGAUACACAACCAUGAACGAGACACACAGGAUCUGUUUCUUCCUGGGGCGCAUCCUCCAGCAUGAAAGACGCGUGUCACUCAAAUAACUCCAGAAAGAGUCUGGCCAGGUCACAGGGCAGCAGGACAACAGCACAGGAAACUAUGGCCUCUUUUCAAUUAUGCCCACGUGGCUAAACUCAAACACAUUCGCCACGCCCUCCAGGUGGUGCCAGGUGAGGACGGGCAUAAGGUUGAGGGCAGGCCUGCGGCAGGCCAGGACUCCAGGAGGCUCUCAGGCUGAGUGUGUGCAGGUUCCGGGGGCAGCUCUCCGUGACUCUAUCCUCUGAGGUCAGCCCAGCGGCAUUACCGUGAGCCUCUGGACCCCAGGACCAAGCACGCAGACUUGGAAUGCCCUUGCUCGUUAGCGGGCUGAAGCCUAAGUUAGGCCGCCCGUUCACAUUGACCUUAAGCUUGCAUGCUUAUCAACUUCUGCUUUCCUCUAGGUAACCUGUCUUUUAUUAUAGGGGUCUCAGCUAAGAACUUAGAGGAGCAGAGAGAAAAUUACUUUCCUCCUCCUACAGGAGAAUCACAAUGCUAUCUCAAAAACUGACCUCUAGCAGCAAAUGAAGGACUAAAACAUGGGACGGAAAAGCGCUUUCAAGAGAAGGUUGUUAAUGAAAGUCCGAAGCCAGGUCACACCACAACACAGGAGCGCCCUUCCUCCGGGAGCACGGCGAGCGUUUGACUGUGAUUCAUUAAAUUCUAUGCUUUAAUAAUUA
Molecule: long non-coding RNA, 1244 nt
Organism: Myotis myotis
Lineage: Eukaryota; Metazoa; Chordata; Mammalia; Chiroptera; Vespertilionidae
Exons: 2
Source: RefSeq, a predicted model, not a curated record